Molecule: unclassified non-coding RNA, 513 nt
Filed under: Dubautia plantaginea subsp. plantaginea
Lineage: Eukaryota; Viridiplantae; Streptophyta; Magnoliopsida; Asterales; Asteraceae
Description: partial external transcribed spacer
Source: RNAcentral
GCUUGCGCAACAACUUCCACCUGGCUUACCUCUUCAGUUUUCUGCCAAGGCUCUAGUGUCUUGGUGGAUUGUGGGUUUCCUGUGUUGCCUACCUAAGCAAUGGCAUUGUGUUGGUUGAUUGUGGUCCCUUUUCUUCUAGUGUCGUACCCAUGACACUUGAUGAACCUUGAAGCGGUUUCUUUGGUCCACCUUGUUAACGAAUAUGUUGAUCUUGUGGUACAUUGACCAUCGCUUGGCUGCAUGGAUACAGAAAAUGAUGUGAGCAUGGGGUUUCAUUGGGUCCUUGUUUCGCUUCCACUCGGCAUGUGCGCUACCCUUAAAAGGAUUGCCUCGCCCAGAAUGGCAUGUUCCCCUGGGGUGGUAUGAUUUUGGGAAACACUCCCUGUUUGAUGCGUGCAUGGUGCUCAUGUGAUCCUUGUUUUGCUCUCAUUUAGCGUCCGCGCUUCUCUUGAAAUGACGGCCUCACUUGCCCAGGCUUGUACUUGCGGUUGAGGCCUUGUCAAAGAGGAAUGC